RNAcentral lists this ribosomal RNA (401 nucleotides) under uncultured bacterium. Its description in RNAcentral is "bacterial SSU rRNA". It matches the Rfam family "Bacterial small subunit ribosomal RNA", at positions 356 to 774 of the family's 1533-position model. The record is from RNAcentral.
GGGGAAUCCUGCACAAUGGGGGAAACCCUGAUGCAGCAACGCCGCGUGAGUGAUGACGGUCUUCGGAUUGUAAAGCUCUGUCUUCAGGGACGAUAAUGACGGUACCUGAGGAGGAAGCCCCGGCUAACUACGUGCCAGCAGCCGCGGUAAUACGUAGGGGGCAAGCGUUGUCCGGAUUUACUGGGUGUAAAGGGUGCUCAGGCGGAUUUGUAAGUCAGAGGUGAAAUCUUACAGCUUAACUGUGAAACUGCCUUUGAUACUGCAAGCCUAGAGUAUGGAAGAGAGUGAUGGAAUAUCUGGUGUAGCAGUGAAAUGCGUAGAUAUCAGAUAGAACACCAAUGGCGAAGGCAGUCACUUGGUCCAUUACUGACGCUAAAGCACGAAAGCGUGGGUAGCAAACA